This 253-nucleotide ribosomal RNA is filed under the name uncultured bacterium. RNAcentral describes it as "partial 16S ribosomal RNA". It matches the Rfam family "Bacterial small subunit ribosomal RNA", at positions 524 to 776 of the family's 1533-position model. The record is from RNAcentral.
UACGGAGGGUGCAAGCGUUAGUCGGAAUUACUGGGCGUAAAGGGUGCGUAGGCGGGCAUUUAAGUCAGUCGUGAAAUUCCGGGGCUCAACCCCGGAGCUGCGACUGAAACUGGAAGUCUAGAGGGAUGGCGGAGAAAACAGAAUUCCACGUGUAGCGGUGAAAUGCGUAGAUAUGUGGAAGAAUACCUGUGGCGUAGGCGGUUUUCUAGCCUGCCCCAGACGCUGAGGCACGAAAGCAAGGGGAGCAAACAGG